This 497-nucleotide ribosomal RNA is filed under the name uncultured bacterium. RNAcentral describes it as "partial 16S ribosomal RNA". It matches the Rfam family "Bacterial small subunit ribosomal RNA", at positions 28 to 507 of the family's 1533-position model. The record is from RNAcentral.
GAUGAACGCUGGCGGCGUGCCUAAUACAUGCAAGUCGAGCGCACGGACCAGAGUCUUGCUUCUCUGAUGUUAGCGGCGGACGGGACAUUAACACGUGUAUAACCUACCUAUAAGACUGGGAUAACUUCGGGAAACCGGAGCUAAUACCGGAUGAUAUUUUGAACCACAUGGUUCAAAAGUGAAAUACGGUCUUGCUGUCGCUUAUAGCUGGAUCCGCGCUGCAUUAGCUAGUUGUUAAGGUAACUGCUUACCAAGGCAACGAUGCAUAGCCGACCUGAGAGGGUGAUCGGCUACCCUGUAACUGAGAAACGGUAGAGACUCCUACGGUGAGCAGCAGUAGGGAAUCUUCCGCAAUGGGGGAGAGCCUGACGGUGCAAAGCCGCGUCAGCGAUGAUGGUCUUAGGAUCGUAAAACUAUGUUAUUAGGGAAGAACAUAUGUGUAAGCAACUGUGCACAUCUUGACGGUACCUGCACAGAAAGCCACGGCUAACUCCGUG